Long non-coding RNA from Oncorhynchus tshawytscha (Chinook salmon), 381 nucleotides. NCBI's taxonomy places the organism in Eukaryota, Metazoa, Chordata, Actinopteri, Salmoniformes, Salmonidae. The record is from Ensembl.
UACAGGUUAGUAAUGAGACUAUAUACAGGGGUACAGGUUAGUAAUGAGACUAUAUACAGGGGUACAGGUUAGUAAUGAGACUAUAUACAGGGGUACAGGUUAGUAAUGAGACUAUAUACAGGGGGUACCGGUACCGAGUCAGUGUGCAGGGCUAUAGGUUAGUAAUGAGACUAUAUACAGGGGUACAGGUUAGUAAUGAGACUAUAUACAGGGGUACAGGUUAGUAAUGAGACUAUAUACAGGGGGUACAGGUUAGUAAUGAGACUAUAUACAGGGGGUACAGGUUAGUAAUGAGGCUAUAUACAGGGGGUACAGGUUAGUAAUGAGGUUAUAUACAGGGGGUACAGGUUAGUAAUGAGACUAUAUACACGGGGUACAGGU